UGAGCAACCUGCCCUUGACUCCGGAAUAACAGCUGGAAACAGCUGCUAAUACCGGAUAUGACCUCCGAUGGCAUCAUCUGGAGGUGGAAAGCUCCGGCGGUCAAGGAUGGGCUCGCGGCCUAUCAGCUUGUUGGUGAGGUAACGGCUCACCAAGGCUUCGACGGGUAGCCGGCCUGAGAGGGCGACCGGCCACACUGGGACUGAGACACGGCCCAGACCUCUACGGGAGG
Molecule: ribosomal RNA, 230 nt
Filed under: uncultured bacterium
Lineage: Bacteria
Description: partial 16S ribosomal RNA
Rfam family: Bacterial small subunit ribosomal RNA
Source: RNAcentral